UAAAAUUGGAACGUGAAUGUACAAAAGAAAAAAAUCACUAAUUUCACACACACACGCACACGCACACACACAUAUGCAUGCGCAAAUGCUAGUGAAAUGAACCCUAACUAACCUCACUUUCCAGAGAAUACAGCCUGGAAAAUUUGGGCCAGAACGUGGCCAGUGGCCAGCUUUAAUUCUUAUGUGGGUUUACUUAGAACCAGUUAAUUCCAUCCUGCGGAAAAAACAUUCUGUAAUCACAGUCCUUGCCUGGAGGCUCAGCAGGACUUCUUGCAAACGGCUGCCAUUCUGCCAUCCCGAGGAUCCCAGAGCUGUGAAAAGUCAGUCCGAGGACCUGUUUGGAACUCUCAAAUUCAAGUUGGUGAGGGUGCAAAUUACCGCCGGACAGUUCUCUCCAUUUCUCGAAGCUCUCUAGGAAUGGAAAUUCUGUGUUCCUCAGUUUCGCCACGCUGACCAGUAAAGUGUUCUGCCCAAGUCAAAUACGAUCUUACCUGCUUUAACAUAAAACCCUCUUCCCCUUGUAUGGUUCUUUAUGGAAAAGAAGGUCAGGAAGAUUCUUAAAAACAUGUGUCUUCUCCCAGCUCAACAAACCCCAGUUCCUGUUUCUCUUCACCUUAGAAUUUAUUUUCUCUCUGUAUGAAAAUAUUCAUUUCUCUUCUCUGAACUUUCUCCACUCUGGUUUCGUUUCUUAAAAAAGAUAUGCAUUUCGGGAAACAGAAGAGCCACCAAAGACAGUAAUUAGUUCCUCUCUAUUUAAGUGAUUGCAAGUCUCUGGGUGGUACAAAUAGUUAAUGCACUUGGGUGCUAACCAAAAGGUUGGAGGUUCAAGUCCGCCCAGAGGCACCUCGGAAGAAAGGGUUGGCGAUCUACUUUUGAAAAAUCAGCCAUUGAAAAAUCCGAUGAAGCACAGUUCUGCUCUGACACACGUGGGGUCGCUAUAAAUAAGAAUUGACUCGAGGGCAACUGGUUAGUGGUUAUUAAGUAACGGGGCCUGUUGCGGAGGGUAGAAGGAAAGGGUAAAAGGAGGGCACUGGGCAUUUUUGGAGAUACAGGAGAUUUUCGAGAAUGAUUUCCUGGAGGUACAGAGCCCGAACAGUAUCUAACUGGCCCGGUGUGGAGAAAUAUUAUUUUUUGCCUCUCAGUAAUCAGUCAGCAGCUCUCCUAGUGUGAAGAAUGGCUAGCCAUUAACAUGUGAGCUUUGUUACCAUGUCAGUGUGAUUAUAUUUUAAUAAAAAGUGGAUUUAUAGCCAGAUAAAGAAGCCAUGAGAUGAAGCAGCCGAGAGCGGCUGUGAACUCUCAGCCAUCAAGCCCUGGCCCUCCUGCUCCACAGCAGCGCGGACUUCCUGCUGGGGCUGGGUGAUUCAACACAGCUGGCCUGCAAAGGAGUGCCAGGGUUCUGGUGAGCCGCGUGCUUCACUGGGCAUUUUAAUUGUAAAGACCAGUGAUUCAUCACAAUUCCAAUUCAAUAAAUCUGUAGUAAAAUCUAUACCGAACAGGGAAAGACUAAAAUCUUUGACUUAAAGGGAGUGAAACAAAUCUGAAAGCUGAUGGAAAAGAAAAAUCAUGGAGUGAAAUCCAUUCAAGUCUUGUACUAAUGUGGUCCUACAUAUUUGCUGCCCUCACUGAAGUUUUAAAGUUUAUUUCUUUCUUCUACCAGAACUAAACUAUACUUUGACUUCUAGAUUCUUCCAGGCCAGCAUAUUGAACAGAAGCACAGUGAGAAUAUUUCAAUGGCUUAUUAGACAACCAUUGCUAAAGAAAACACAUGAUUCUCUGCAGAGUUACAGUUUUUGCUCAAAGAUAUCAGUCAAGAUACACACAAAUGGUAAGUCCUUUUUGGAAAGCUUUUAUCUCUUGUAUAACUUUGAUAUGUUAAGUGAUGAGUUUGGAUUAAAUUGCCUCAUAAUGAUUUUUCAAGGGAGGUAAACCCUAGUGUCAAAAUUUCCUGGUCAUUACUUCAUCAAACAAGUUAAAAAAAAAAAAAAAUCCAUACACUUAAAA
Loxodonta africana (African savanna elephant) is the source of this 2001-nucleotide long non-coding RNA. RefSeq lists it as uncharacterized. The transcript has 2 exons. The record is from RefSeq and is a predicted model, not a curated record. NCBI's taxonomy places the organism in Eukaryota, Metazoa, Chordata, Mammalia, Proboscidea, Elephantidae.